GCACGGCCACUUUUGUACAAAAUAAGUCAAUCCUUGGCUGUGAAUGGGAGACGAAGAGAUGGGUUGGAGGAUGGCGAGGAGAAAAGCAAAUAAUGGACCAUAAAUGGUGCCAACACGAGUGAUUCUAAAACCUUUUCCAAAUCCUCAGAGCCAUUACAGCUUGGGCAGAACAGAAAAGGAAGGAACUCAACGAAGUACAGCAUCUUUUCAGGCAGAGAGUUCAAUGCGCGUCAAUCAGAUGACCACUGCUGCCUGG
Molecule: long non-coding RNA, 256 nt
Filed under: Homo sapiens (human)
Lineage: Eukaryota; Metazoa; Chordata; Mammalia; Primates; Hominidae
Description: HSALNT0404072
Source: RNAcentral